RNAcentral lists this ribosomal RNA (301 nucleotides) under uncultured bacterium. RNAcentral describes it as "partial 16S ribosomal RNA". It matches the Rfam family "Bacterial small subunit ribosomal RNA", at positions 509 to 807 of the family's 1533-position model. The record is from RNAcentral.
CAGUAGCCGCGGUAAUACAGAGGGUGCGAGCGUUAAUCGGAUUUACUGGGCGUAAAGCGUGCGUAGGCGGCUUCUUAAGUCGGAUGUGAAAUCCCCGGGCUCAACCUGGGAAUGGCAGUGGAUACUGGCAAGCUAGAGUGUGUCAGAGGAUGGUGGAAUUCCCGGUGUAGCGGUGAAAUGCGUAGAGAUCGGGAGGAACAUCAGUGGCGAAGGCGGCCAUCUGGGACAACACUGACGCUGAGGCACGAAGGCGUGGGGAGCAAACAGGAUUAGAUACCCCCGUAGUCCCUGUCUCUUAUAC